Acinonyx jubatus (cheetah) is the source of this 441-nucleotide long non-coding RNA. RefSeq lists it as uncharacterized. NCBI's taxonomy places the organism in Eukaryota, Metazoa, Chordata, Mammalia, Carnivora, Felidae. The record is from RefSeq and is a predicted model, not a curated record. The transcript has 3 exons.
AGUAUAAAUUUCAGCCAUUCUCUGCCUUGCUGCCUUUCUGCCAGACUUUCUACAGCAACAUGAAGGUGGGGGGCUUCCUCCUCCUGGUGAUGCUCAUCACCCUCAGCUUGGAGGUGCAGGAGCUCCAGGCUUCGGUGAGGCCACUGAAAUUGUUGGGUAGCUGCAUUGAGGAAUGCAGUGGUGACUGGGAUUGUGAUCCAGAUGAACGCUGUGUCAGCAAUGGGUGUGGCCACGUCUGUGUUCCAGCCUAAGGACAGAUGAAGAUUUAUCUUAAGGGUCAUCCUUCUCUAAUAAUUUCUCAUCACUUCCUAUCUUCAAAGAUGUGACUGGAACUCCUUGCCCUGGAAGACAGAUGAAAAUGGGGACCUGUGGAUGGAGAUUACAUGUGGUGGGCAAGGAGAAAGAGUCACUUCUUUCAAUAAAUCAUCAUUGUUAAAAGUA